This 465-nucleotide ribosomal RNA is filed under the name uncultured bacterium. RNAcentral describes it as "bacterial SSU rRNA". It matches the Rfam family "Bacterial small subunit ribosomal RNA", at positions 331 to 793 of the family's 1533-position model. The record is from RNAcentral.
CCAGACUCCUACGGGAGGCAGCAGUGAGGAAUAUUGGUCAAUGGGCGCGAGCCUGAACCAGCCAAGUCGCGUGAGGGAAGACGGUCCUAUGGGUUGUAAACCUCUUUUGCCGGGGAGCAACGGGCGCCACGUGUGGCGCCACUGAGAGUACCCGGAGAAAAAGCAUCGGCUAACUCCGUGCCAGCAGCCGCGGUAAUACGGAAGAUGCGAGCGUUAUCCGGAUUUAUUGGGUUUAAAGGGUGCACAGGCGGAGGUGCAAGUCAGCGGUCAAAUUGCGGGGCUCAACCCCGUACUGCCGUUGAAACUGCAUCCCUUGAGUGCGCGAGAAGUAUGCGGAAUGCGUGGUGUAGCGGUGAAAUGCAUAGAUAUCACGCAGAACUCCGAUUGCGAAGGCAGCAUACCGGCGCGCAACUGACGCUCAUGCACGAAAGCGUGGGUAUCGAACAGGAUUAGAUACCCGCGUAA